UUGUUCUUUAAAUGGGGACUUGUAUCAACGGCAUCACGAGGGUUUUACUGUCUCCUUUUUCUAAUCAGCGAAACUAAUCUCCCCGUGAAGAAGCGGGGAUAUUUAUAUAAGACGAGAAGACCCCAUGGAGCUUCAAACCCAAUUACACCCCCCCCCCCCC
This 160-nucleotide ribosomal RNA is filed under the name Mantidactylus majori (Ivohimanita Madagascar frog). RNAcentral's name for it is "partial 16S ribosomal RNA". The record is from RNAcentral. Lineage: Eukaryota; Metazoa; Chordata; Amphibia; Anura; Mantellidae.